RNAcentral lists this ribosomal RNA (129 nucleotides) under Achromobacter xylosoxidans. RNAcentral describes it as "partial 16S ribosomal RNA". It matches the Rfam family "Bacterial small subunit ribosomal RNA", at positions 650 to 777 of the family's 1533-position model. The record is from RNAcentral. Lineage: Bacteria; Pseudomonadati; Pseudomonadota; Betaproteobacteria; Burkholderiales; Alcaligenaceae.
GUCAGAGGGGAGGUGGAAUUCCGCGUGUAGCAGUGAAAUGCGUAGAUAUGCGGAGGAACACCGAUGGCGAAGGCAGCCUCCUGGGAUAACACUGACGCUCAUGCACGAAAGCGUGGGGAGCAAACAGGA